Molecule: long non-coding RNA, 9422 nt
Filed under: Panax ginseng (ginseng)
Lineage: Eukaryota; Viridiplantae; Streptophyta; Magnoliopsida; Apiales; Araliaceae
Description: long non-coding RNA (PGIN_LNC013634)
Rfam family: MIR6135 microRNA precursor family (bases 7307-7428)
Source: RNAcentral
CGACUAGUCCCAGCUAUAUUCUCAUCUCCUGAAGAGAACAGUGAAAGAAAAGGUGAGCUCAACUAGCCCAGUAAGAAAUACUAUGACUAAGAUAAUGCAGAAUAAAUUAUCCUUAGCCUUCAACAGUAUAACAACUGAAAGAAUACAAUAGACAACAAGUUUUAGAUCAACAACUGUAGCGGAUCAAGCAAUCCAUUAGAAGAGUCAAGUAGAGCAUGAUAUCCACUAUCUUCUAUGAUUUAAAAGUGUAUCAUCAAUUUUAUCGCUGAGACCCAGCUUAAUAAAUAAUCCACAUCACUGAAUUAUCCAUGCCCUAAGGGCCAAGGAUAUUCAUUAGUAUCACAACCACGAAUUAUUUCCAAAUAAAGUAUUGUCUUGAUAAUGAUGAAAUUUCAAGGAUAUUCUACUAAUUUCAUGGAGUAUAGAAGCAAUAUUUCAAUAAAAUGAGUGUAGAAUUAGGGAUACAAAAUAAAAUAAUAUUACUUACAUACUACAGAGUAUGGAAGAAAAUAUUUUUUCAUACGAAUAUUAAACAAAAAUAAUAUCUCUUACGAAUAAAAAAUAAAUAACAUCCCUUACCUUAGUAGAAGGCUGGAUACUGCAAUAGUGAAGUAGCAGAAUACUCUUCCUCUUUCUCUUUAUAGCUUAUCUCUCUAUAGCUUCUCUCUCUAUAAUUGCUCUUGUGAGUCUUAGUGAAUUGGUGAGAAUGAAAGAAGAAUGAGCUUCUAUUUAUAGGAAAAUAUAGUUUUGAUAAUUGCACGGCUCUAAUUAUUACAGAAUAGUACCUUCAUCUUUUCCUCCAUUUUUAAUUUAGUCCUACAAGUAUUAUCAAACUUGCACCACCUCCCCUAAUAGUACAUGCAUGUGAAUCAAUAGUACAUGCAUUUGAAUCAAUAGUUCCAUUCAUGUGAAUAAAUAGUUAUAUGCAUGUGAACUAAUAGCAAUUAAUUACUCAUUUAUCCGAUUAAUUAUCCGAUUGGUCAAUUUAGCCUCCAGAAAUCAAUUAUUAUCGAAAUAAAUGUCGAUUUCCACUAACACUAAUAAUCCCAACGUAAUAAAAAUAUCAAUUUCAUCUUUAAUCCACACAAACUUAUUCAUCGUUAAUAUUAUAACUCACAAUAUUUAACAACGAGAUCAUUCCUAGGAAAAAGGGGGCUUUCCGAUAAGGAUUUCUCCCUAUUGGCGCGCAAUUAGGUGACCAAACCCCUUUCCUCGAUAGAACUUUCUAGACAUCGUCAAUAUUGCAAAUAAUAAUAUGAAUAACUUUGUCGUCUCAAUUAUUGAUUUAAUAAUAUAAAAUAUUAUGUAGAUGAUACUGUGACAAUAAUUGAAUCAAUAAUAUGAGAGAUAUUAUGCAACAAUUACUGUAACAAUAAUUGAGUAUAACUGAGUGACUUCUCGCGUAAGCAUCAAUAAUCAAAGAUACUAUACAAUACCGUGUGCUACUAUGCAACCGCGCGUAUUACUGUACUUUUAUCAUCGGGUAUUUCAACAGUUUAAUGGUAAAACUUUCACCGUUAUUUUUAUAAAAAGAUAUUUUUGUCGUUUUCUAACUUCGACAAUACUUCCGUUGUGGGGUUCACCAAUGAUUGUGCCGUCGAACGAAUAUUCCCUGACUCCAACCAAUGAAAUAUUUUAUGACAACUUGUAUACUUUGCAAAAUUUAUAAAUAUUAUCCACAACUAUAAUAUUAUAUCAAAUCCUCACCUUAAUACUUAAAAAAAAUAUUUCGAGAAAAUUAAUCUUUAUUCAUAAAAUUUGGGGUCUUAUAAAUUUAUUUCAUUAAUAAAUGUCAAUUCGACUUACUAUUCUUCAUUACGGCUUAUUAAUAUUCUUACGUCACCAACCUAAGACUUGGUCAUCAUUGGUUAAUUACCAAAGUUUGAAUACACUUUACUUUCAUAUCUCUCGCGUUCUUCGUUUAAUUUCUAUUAAACCAUAUUCAAAUUCCAAAAUUUAUCACUAUAUAAGUGACUUAAGAUUAAUCUUAUCAUGUAUAAUAAGUAUAUACAUGUCCAAUACUAGUUUUGUAACAAAUUUGGAAUUAGAAAAUAACUUGUUCAACAAAUUCCCACUACCGGCGCUGCGACGCCAGACAUCAAUACACUAUUGGCGCUGCGGCGCCAACUAACAGUGUGUUUUGCCCGGUCUCGACGCUGCGACGCGAGAUCCCUUUGUACAAGUGGCUUUGCGGUGCCACUCUCCAGUAGCUAAGUCUCCCUAAUCAGCACUGUGACGCGAGUUUUAAUGCUUGGGGCGGCGCUGCGGCGCCCACCCUGAGCCCUUGAAUUUUUUUUCUAAUUUUCAAUACGAUUCUUCCCGGACUCAUAACUUAGUCGUUUUAAGUCGGAUUUGGCUCGUUCAAAAGCCAUUUUCUUACACGUUCCAUGAACUUUGAUUUCAUCAGGACAAAAGUAGUUUUUAAACCCAUUAAUGAUGAAUUCACUAUUAACGUUCUAAUAAGUGUUCGUUAAAUGCUCGUGAGCGUUCAUAACUCGUUUUAUUCAUUCUAAGUCGGAAUUCAACCGUUCUUGAGGCUAAGACUCUUGAAUAUGUUAUUCUACGCUACCCCAUCAAAAACUAGGGUUUUCUAACUAAUCGAAAAGCUUUGACUACUAAUCCGGAAUUAUACGAUUUCAACGUUUAACGUCUAAUUUCGUAAAUUUUGCCAUAACUUCGUUACUCGUGUUUUAUAUGCCAAAUCAAAUGGAACCAAUCCAUUGAUUCAUUGUCUAUAUCCUAACCAAGCAAUAGGCACAUACCCUAUAAAUGAUGAUUUUCAAUUCGUCUAUCAACAACCAAGUCAAAACUUAAUGUUUUUUUGUCGGUUAAACUUACUUAAACGUUUAUGAUUCCUACUUAUACAUGGCUUGUAAAUAUUUAAUUCACUAUUAGCCAUCCUUAUUACUCCGUAAGAGACAUGCUCCACCAAUUCAUGAUUCUCUAUAAAAUAAAUUUAAACGGAUCGAAUACUAAGGUUUUACGAAUUAUUCCCUUAUCGUUCUUCGCGUUCUUGCUUAAAACUUGUAUGUUUUGCUUCAAGCUCACUUGAUUACUUGUUUCUAGCUAUUUUCUCUCUCUCAAAUUAUAUUAGUCAAAGUUUGUAAAACAACAAAUGACCAAGCUAAGCUUCCUUAUAUAGAAAAUCAAAUGAAGGGUAUUUUGGUCAUUUGGUGCACCUCCUUACUAUUCAUUACUUUGUAACCAAGUAACGACUUUACUUGGCCACCAAGUGGCCGGCCCACAUGGCCUUGUGGGCCCCCCAUGGGUUUUACCUAUCCGGUGACCCAUCGGUUCGAUCCACAGUUCGGUUUCUUGGAUCAGGCUUGAUUUAACCUAACAUUGGGCCUUGAUAAUACUCAAUAUUGGGCUUCAUUUCACAAAACAUUGGGCUUGAUAUAAUCCAAGUCCAAUUGGAUUCUACAAAGCCCAUUAACUCAAAGUCCAAUAAGAAGCAAUCGUAUUAUACGCGUAUAACUCACGUAUUCUCUUCGUAUAGUAUUUGUACGAUAUUUGUAUUAUAUGUCAUAAUGUUCUUCAUACUAUACUCGUAUACUAACUAGUAUCCUACUCGUAUAUCACACGUAUAAUAACCUUAAUCCUUAUACGCAUUCAUUUCCUUCUCGGAAAUCACUUUUCCUAACCCUUAGGUUUUAAGUCCGCAAACAAAAACUUCGUUUGCCAUAACUGAAAUAUUAUUGGAUAUUCUAUCUCGUCUUAAAAUUCUAUCAUUACGCGUUUCUCGGAAUUUCAAACUUAAUUCCUAAGCAGAAACGAAUAAAUAGUGUUUUUUACGGAAAUUUCUCAAAAAACUUUUAUUUUUUUCUUGGAAAUUCAAAAUAAUUAAUUCUAGCACAUAGCCAGAAUUCUAACCACAUCCACACAUUCUAAGUCAUAAAACGACCUUCAUACAGCUUACUCACAUAAAUAAUCAAUUAAUUCAUUUAAUCCACAUAAUCAAAUAAAAAUUUAAUUCUCAUAAAAAUCAGAUUUUCUCGGGCGUUACAAAAUGCAUCACAAAUACAAAUUCAUAAUUCUCCAUCUUAUCAAUCAAACUUAUGGCUAUACCACUAUUAUUAUCAGAAGCACCAUCAUCAUGCACAUUUUCAAGCACUUAUAAUACGGAAGUCCACAUAGACAUAAGACGGAUUAUUGUUAUGUAAUGUGACCCCCUACAAGUAUCUCCUGGCCGUCUUAAACUGAUUUCUUAAUUUUUUCCUUUACCACUAACUAUUUCUCCCUUUUCCAAACACUCCACGAUCCUAUCAUGUUCAAGCUGUCUAAGUUUAUCUUUCCUUUUACAUGAUGUUCCAGCCACAUUCACAAUCAUAGUAACAUAUUGAAAAAAAUCACUCACAAUACGGCUGCUACUAUUGGCAACAACAACAACAACUAAUUGGAGUUGGUGAGAAAAACAAUGGACAUACCUUGCAUAUGGAUUUUUUUUAAAAUAAGAGCCUUCAAUCCAUUGAACUCGCCUCACAUAUUUGAAGACCCAUCAUAUCCUUGACCUCUCAACCUCGAUAAUGACAAUUUAUGCUUUGCAAAUAAUUCAUCAAUAGUAUUCUUCAAAGAAAUAGAUGAAGUGUCAGGCACAUGUACCACACCAAGAAACCUUUCAAUCACAUCUCCAUAGUUGUUUACAUAUCUCAAAACAACUCCCAUUUGCUCCUUUAUUGAAACAUCUCGAGACUCAUCAACUAUAAUAGAAAAUAUGUUGUCCCCAAUAUCAUUGAUGAUGGCAAGUGUAGUUUCCACGGCACAAGCACUUGUUAGUCUUUUUGAAUUUUUGGAGAAGUCAUUUGAUUGUUUCUAGGAGCAUUCUCAUUAACUACCUUGCCUACCUCUUCAUUUCGUAAGUUGUACCACUCAAAAAACUCAAGAAAAUUUUCCUUAUUUCAUGAAGUCGAUGACUCAUCAUGUCCAUGAAAAGGCAAACCUUGCUUCAAAAGAAGGCAUGUGACAUCCAAAGCCGCCGUUAAACGGGUGCGAUAAGCAACCUCCAUCUCUUACUUUUGUGCUAGUAGUAUAUGUGACACACUCUGCCUUUGAUUUUUAAAACCUUGAAGUUGUAUUUUAGCAUCAUUAUGAGCACUAUUUGAACCACCCACAUGUUCUUAAAAUUUUUCAAUUGCCUUUUUCUAGUUGCUGAACCCUUUUUUUGUAAAAGCAUCUACUCUGUUUGAAUUGCCAAAUAGAUAGCAACAAAAGCAAAAGGCCGCAUCCUUUGAAAUGCUAUACUCCAACCAUUCAAAAGUUUUAAACCAAGCGGGCCGAAAGCUUUUCUUCACAUUAGAAAAGUAUUUUUGAGGAUAAUUAUGGGCAAUUGGUUGACAUGGACCUCUAGUCAAAUACUCUCUUCGAACUUGAUCUCUAAUCACAAUAGCAAAGUCUUCAAUUGAUUUACGUAACCCCGGAUCACUAACAAUAUCAUUCGGAUUGAACUCCACACGCGAAUUAUUAAUAUCACCACUUGCUUUAGAACUUCGUAAUUGAUUAUUAAAAGAAUAAAUAGUUCUUUGUCGUUUAAUCAAGUAUUUAUCCAUAAUCUAGUAUAAAUAAAAACAUCAAUUGCUAAUGAAUAAUUUUUAAACAUUUCACAAUAAUUUCAUCAUUCAUCAAUUCUCUUAGGAUUUAAGAAAACAAAAAUUAAACAAUAAUUUAAGAUUACUCCAACAGUAACAAUUUUGAAAACUAAAUUACUAAAAGAUUAAUAUAGAAUCUCAAAUUACCAAAUUGAGAGUCUAAUUUUCUUUUUUUGAUAUAAUUCCAAACUGGGAGUUAUUCUAUAUAGAAAGAGAAGCUAGGAAACAAAACAGGAAAUAAACCAUGUACCCAUAACCAUAUAAAAUCACACUAGCUAAAGCUAAGUUUCAAUAAAACUUAUUAUAAGAGUAAAGGGAAGAUCCAAAGCUUUCAUAAAAAAUAAACCAAACCCAAUAAAGUUAUACCCAAUUCAAUUAGAGUAGAAAUUCAUUGUUUAGCAACAAAUAUAUAUACACACACUGACACACAUACAUACAAUUAGAUAAUCUAUAGAGAUAUGCAUACCUCUAGGGGCCGGCAGAGGCAGGAGCAGUGGAGGCGGAAGAGCCGAAGAGGGAAGAGACGAAGAAAGUCUGUGAAGAGACUAGAGAGUAAGAGAGUCUGUGAAGAAAACCCUAAUAAAAAUGUUUUAUUUUAUUUUUUAUUUUUUAAUGAAACGACGUCGUUUCAUGUUAUUAUAAAAAAGAAGAAGAAGAAGAAAGAAACAUGUAUUGUGUUGCAGACUGCAGAACUGAAUCGGAGAAGAAGAAGUCCUUGCCGGCGCCUGCUGGCUGGUGGCUGCCCCCCCNNNNNNNNNNNNNNNNNNNNNNNNNNNNNNNNNNNNNNNNNNNNNNNNNNNNNNNNNNNNNNNNNNNNNNNNNNNNNNNNNNNNNNNNNNNNNNNNNNNNNNNNNNNNNNNNNNNNNNNNNNNNNNNNNNNNNNNNNNNNNNNNNNNNNNNNNNNNNNNNNNNNNNNNNNNNNNNNNNNNNNNNNNNNNNNNNNNNNNNNNNNNNNNNNNNNNNNNNNNNNNNNNNNNNNNNNNNNNNNNNNNNNNNNNNNNNNNNNNNNNNNNNNNNNNNNNNNNNNNNNNNNNNNNNNNNNNNNNNNNNNNNNNNNNNNNNNNNNNNNNNNNNNNNNNNNNNNNNNNNNNNNNNNNNNNNNNNNNNNNNNNNNNNNNNNNNNNNNNNNNNNNNNNNNNNNNNNNNNNNNNNNNNNNNNNNNNNNNNNNNNCUAUCGGGAUCAGAUAAUGCCCCCCGCCCCCUAGUUCCGCCUCUGGCAAUAGAUACUGACCACUAAAUAAGAGAAAGACAACAAUGUAAAAUUAUACUCUCAAUUUAUAGUUUUGUUGGGAUGUGAUACCUACUUUGUAAUAUAGUAAACUAUUAUUUGGUGUAAAAUUAUUAUUAUUUUUUAUUAAUUUUAUACUUUCAAUUGUAUUUUAAAAGAUAACCUUUUUUUACUAAUAAUUAUAUCUAGUGAGUUUGUUAAUUAGUCAAAGGUAAAAAUAGAAACAUUACAAAAACAAACACGUGAUAGAAUUUUGCGUUUAACAAUUACUCUUUGUUAGAAUUUAAGGUUGAAAUACACAUCAAUCACAUAUAAAGUAGAUGAAGAACGAGAACUAAAAUACACACGAUAUAUUCAAGUUCAUCGACUAGUUUUGUUUGUCUUAUGUAUUCGUUAUAUGUCUAACACACUCUUCAAUGAUCCAUAUACCAAACAAUAUUUAUAUAAUAACUAGAAAAUCCGAUAUCAUGAGUUUAAAACGGAAGUGGUUAGUAUGAAGUUAAUUUUUGAGUAAGUUGGUCAAUUGGCCAAUAAAGUGCUAACACACAGGCAAGACUCUAUGUGUGUCAGCAUUUUAUUGGUCAAUUGACCAACUUACCCAGAAAUGAACUUCAUGCUAACUGAAUCUGUUUAAAAUCCAUCAGGCCCAAAAUAUUGGUAAAACUCAAAGUUAGUCUACUAAUAAAUUUUCAAGUCUAAAUACAUAUUAUACUUAGAUUUCAGGGAGCACGACCCUUUUGCAAUCCCCACAUGUUUACUGGCGAGCAGGACAACCACUCCCUAACUGAGACACGAGAUCUCUGACUAUUCUGUUAUAGUGGUCAUUAAUUUGAUCCAGAAAUAUUCCCACCACUCCUAAAAGCACAGGAAAAAAAGCACUCAACUUUAUUUCGUCUGUUUAUUUAUUUAUUUAUUCAAAAUUCAAUUUUUCUUCACAAAAUUUAACACGACGUCACGUUGAAAAUGUGAUGCACUUAAAUACUAAAGGAAUAUAAAUAUUUCAUUUAUGACCUAAAAUAUUUUACGGUAGUUGCUGUACAAAAGUGUCCCGGGUUAGGAAAGCAAGCUUUUGGAUCUGUUCCAGCUAGCUUUCACAAAUGGCAAAUUACUUUUUCUUAUUUAUUGCUCGGUAAAACCUUACCUGAUCUAAAAGACAUGGAUUUAAGAAUGUAACGUGUAUAAUCGCUUGUUGAAAUACAUACCGGCGAUUUUUGAGUACCUUACAUUAAAUCGUCUUUUGGAUUAAAUGUUUCUUUGGUCACUGUACUUUAAAUCAACUUACAAAUGAAUAAUUAAAUUUUUUACAGUCAACUAAUUAUACUCAACUUUUAUAACACAAAGUUAAAAAACCAUUAAGUCCUUUGACUUUAAACCAAAAAGGACACCUAAGCUGCUGAUUUAUAAAAAAAAUUGAUGUGACAGUGAUUAUGCGACGUGACAGUGAUUAUGUGAUGUGGUCGUGAUUAUGUGGAUCUGGAGGAAAAAUUUUAUGAACAAAAUGAAAAAAAAUAUUUGAAGUAUAAUAUAAAUUUAAAAAGUUAGCCAAAAAAUAAGAAAAUAAAUAAAUAAUGUAUUUAAUUAUUUUUGUAAUUAAUAGCAAAUAAAUUUUUAUUUAUAAUUAAGCCAUUUAUAAAACAUAAAAACUAAAAAUGUGCUAAUUAAAAUUAAGGGGACUAUGAAAUACAUUUAGGGGAAAAUGAAAGAAAAUUAUAAAAAAAUCAGAAAAUUUAGCAAAAAAUACAUGGUAGAAAUUAUAAAAUAAAAAGAGUUAUUUAGUUAUUUUUGUAGUUAAUAGAAUUUUUUAUAUAAUUAAUAACAAAUAUAAUUAAGGAAAUUAUAAAAAUUAUAAAUUAAAAAUAUUUUAAAAUUAAAAAUCUUUUCAAAAUAAAUUUUUAUUUACAUAAAUAUUAUAUAUGUUAGGCAUAGAAUUAUUAAUUAUUAAAAGCAAAUAUUAUGGUAUAUUAACAAUUUAUUAAUAUAUUAUACUUAAACAAAUUAAACAAACCCAUCUUCACCUUCAAUCUUCUCUUCCACUACCACUGCCUAUCACCCUUCCACCAAUACGAGGGAUGAAUUAAGUAGCGGAACAACUAUAAAUUGGUCAAUCCAGAUUAUAACUUAGCAACUAUAAAUUUCUCUCUCUAACCUAGAACCAUCAUCACUAUUCAUCAUCUUCCUCAUCCAAUUUAGUACAAGAGACCCAAAUAGUAAAAACACUAACAAUCGACAACCAAGUAGGGAUAGUCAGCCUAUAAAUAACUAGAAUAUCUAACAAUCAAGAUCGAAAUAGAAAAAGUUCACUUGAAAUUGAAAAAAUUGUUACCCGAUUUGAGGUAUUCUUCCUCUUUUUCUUUAUUUUCAUUACAUGCUUAUGAGAAAUUGGGCUUCAGCUUGGGGAAGAAAUUAAAAUACUCUAUCGAAACGCAAUCUUCAUGUCCGAACGCCUUUGCCCCGAGUUUCCUUCGGAGGUACCUUCUUCAUCCCCUGACAUUUAAAUCUACAAGAUUGAUUAUUUAUGAAAAUUCAAAUAAUCUGCUCAGAGAGGAGAGCUCGAUGAUGUAUUUUUAGGUGGAGUAGAUCUCCUGCAUCCUUUCUCUCCUCUCUUUCGU